RNAcentral lists this ribosomal RNA (158 nucleotides) under Candidatus Erwinia dacicola. RNAcentral's name for it is "partial 23S ribosomal RNA". It matches the Rfam family "Bacterial large subunit ribosomal RNA", at positions 1 to 150 of the family's 2925-position model. Lineage: Bacteria; Pseudomonadati; Pseudomonadota; Gammaproteobacteria; Enterobacterales; Erwiniaceae. The record is from RNAcentral.
GGGUUGUGAGGUUAAGCGACUAAGCGUACACGGUGGAUGCCUAGGCAGUCAGAGGCGAUGAAGGGCGUGCUAAUCUGCGAUAAGCGUCGGUAAGGUGAUAUGAACCGCAACAACCGAUGAUACCCGAAUGGGGAAACCCAGUGUGAUAGGUCACACUA